Molecule: long non-coding RNA, 859 nt
Organism: Cucurbita maxima (winter squash)
Lineage: Eukaryota; Viridiplantae; Streptophyta; Magnoliopsida; Cucurbitales; Cucurbitaceae
Exons: 2
Source: RefSeq, a predicted model, not a curated record
UUUUGAACCCAAACCUAUAAUAUCCCGCCGGGAAAAUACCUCUGAAGGAUCCUUAAAUGCCGAAAGAGCCCCUGUAACUUUGCGAAAAAAACCCACCCACACUACGCAAACCAAACAGUAUAGUUCAGGGUUAUUAUCGUCAUGUUAAAGUUUCGAGACACAUCAUUCCCGCCAUCGAAUUUUUGCAGGUCAUACAGAUUCCGGGAAUGGCGGUAAGAGAAAUCCGGUGGGGCUGUCCGUCCGGGAUUUCCGAUUGGACGAGUGAAGAUGAUGAUGAAAAUCGACAAGGAUAUUGAUGUCGCCGCUGAGAAGAAACGGAAGAUCGUGAAGCUUGAACACAUCGGAAUCAUCGUCAAGAGGCAUCGGCUGAUGAGUGAUUUUCUCCUCGAUUCGCUUCCUCUUACAUCUCAGCCGUAGGAUGCUCCGGCGAAGGAUGAGAAUCGCACUUGCACUGUCGUCGGUAAACCGCUUCCUGAAAGAACCCGUCGAAUCGAUGAUUUCUUUCGCCGGCUAGCAAAGACAACGUCGGCGGAGACCAACGAGUCAUAGGCGAUCAGUCUUCAUCAGAUAAAAGGUAUUGUUUAAUUUUUUUUUGCGUUUGUUUGCUAUCAAGUCCAUAUUUUACGAUUACACGAGAAAACUUGUUUGUUUCUGAACAUCAGACAAUUUUAAGUUAUCCAUUUGAAGAAAUUGUCAUCUAAAUAUCUCAAAAGAAGGACAAAAACCAAAAGAGUGAACUGAAUAGAUGCAAUUAAGAUGAAAUUUGAUACAAUGUAGACAAUCAAAAUGAUGGGUGGUUGAUUUUCACUCUCUAUUUAUAAACAUUAUCUGGGAAAUCGAGAUGGGAUCUGUACAGGAA